RNAcentral lists this ribosomal RNA (781 nucleotides) under uncultured bacterium. RNAcentral's name for it is "bacterial SSU rRNA". It matches the Rfam family "Bacterial small subunit ribosomal RNA", at positions 154 to 916 of the family's 1533-position model. The record is from RNAcentral.
AAAGGAGGGGCAAUACCGAAUAUUGUCCGGAACCGUGAAGGGUUUCGGGGAAAGGGAGGCCUCUGACACAAGCUUUCGCCUUAAGAUGAGCCCAUGGCCCAUCAGCUAGUUGGUAGGGUAAAGGCCUACCAAGGCUACGACGGGUCGCUGGUCUGAGAGGACGACCAGCCACACUGGCACUGAGAUACGGGCCAGACUCCUACGGGAGGCAGCAGUGAGGAAUAUUGCGCAAUGGGGGAAACCCUGACGCAGCAACGCCGCGUGUGGGAAGAAGGCCUUCGGGUCGUAAACCACUUUUACUCGGGACGAAAAAGGGAUAUCAAACAAAUAUCCCCGAUGACGGUACCGUGAGAAUAAGCCACGGCUAACUCUGUGCCAGCAGCCGCGGUAAGACAGAGGUGGCAAGCGUUGUUCGGAAUUACUGGGCGUAAAGAGUCUGUAGGUGGUUUGUCAAGUCUUUGGUGAAAGGCCGUAGCUUAACUAUGGGAAUGCCAAAGAGACUGGCAGGCUGGAGGCUGGGAGAGGGAAGCGGAAUUUCUGGUGUAGCGGUGAAAUGCGUAGAUAUCAGAAGGAAGGCCGGUGGCGAAGGCGGCUUCCUGGAACAGUCCUGACACUGAGAGACGAAAGCGUGGGGAGCAACAGGAUUAGAUACCCUGGUAGUCCACGCCCUAAACGAUGGGUACUAAGUGUGGAGGGGUUAACCCUCCGUGCCGCAGCAAACGCAGUAAGUACCCCGCCUGGGGAGUACGGCCGCAAGGUUGAAACUCAAAGGAAUUGACGG